UACGAACUGUGCGAACGUUAUUCGGAAUCACUGGGCUUAAAGGGUGCGUAGGCGGCUGCCUAAGUCAGGUGUGAAAUCUCUCGGCUCAACCGGGAAACUGCGCUUGAUACUGGGCGGCUUGAGUGAGGUAGGGGUGUGUGGAACUGCGAGUGUAGAGGUGAAAUUCGUAGAUAUUCGCAAGAACACCAGUGGCGAAGGCGGCUCACUGGCCCGAUACUGACGCUGAGGCACGAAAGCGUGGGGAGCAAACAGG
RNAcentral lists this ribosomal RNA (253 nucleotides) under uncultured bacterium. RNAcentral describes it as "partial 16S ribosomal RNA". It matches the Rfam family "Bacterial small subunit ribosomal RNA", at positions 524 to 776 of the family's 1533-position model. The record is from RNAcentral.